Molecule: long non-coding RNA, 5098 nt
Organism: Lagopus muta (rock ptarmigan)
Lineage: Eukaryota; Metazoa; Chordata; Aves; Galliformes; Phasianidae
Exons: 2
Source: RefSeq, a predicted model, not a curated record
GCCGAGAGGGGGCGGGGCGAGCCCGUCUGCUGGGGGCGGAUCCCCGGGCCCCAAGCGCGGGCGCUGCGGGCUGUUUCGGGCGGCGGAGGCCGUCCGCAUCCUGCCGUGGUCUGUUUAUUGAACUGCACCCUACGUAGCACCGUAAGACCAACAUGGCUUAUCUUCCUCGCCCUUCUCCCGUCACUCCAAUUAGGCAUUUCCAUAAAUACGCAUCGCUAUAUUGAAUUGGAUAAACUUGGGCUGGUGCUCGGCUCCAGAACCUCACUGUCCCACAUCCCACCCAGACAGCCGUUCUGGCACGCCGCGAUGGAGGCAGCGCCCCCCAACCCGCCAUGCGGAGAUUUAAAUUACCACUGAGAAAAGAGAAGGCGGCCGCAAUGAGCAAGGCGACGAUCUGUUCGUCCCCAUAACGGAGCACGAGGCAAGACGUCAUCAGUUUAAAGCGCUGUGAGAAAAACCAAGGGCAGGUAUUAAGCAAAUUCAAUUGAUAAAGACGCUAUGGCAGUAAUGUGAGGAUGGGUGCGGAGUCUUCAUUAGCUGAGGGUUUAAAGGUAGCUUAAAUUACGUGUUUUAUGUGCAGCCACUCCCCUGUUUAACCAAGAGGGUGAGCCAAGUGCUCUGGUACUCUCCCGAUUUUUUUCUCUAAACAAUUCACGCUCUCAUUUAAAUUUAAUCUCCGUUCAGCUCCACAGAAAUGAUGGAGGAGCUGUCUUUCUCCAGGCUGCUCUCAGAAAAUAGAAACGAACUAGAUCCUCAAAUUGCUUGCCAUAUUCUUACCCUAUCUUCAUUUAGCUCCUCUCCAUAAAGGAGUCAUUCAAGAGGAAUUACGUUCCCUUGGAAUGAAUAGUUCCUGUUCCAAUGCAUGCUUUAGCCUAUUGCAUAGCACAAUUAUACAAAAUAGGAUACCUGUCUUCCUGUGGGCCCUCCUGCCCAACUUUCUCUCAUCCCAACGCACAAAUACCUUUGACAUUAGCUACUUUCUUUCUUUUAACUAGUAAAUGCUGGAGGAGAGAUGGAAAAGAGUUAGCAGCUGUGUGUGCAGAAAACAUCCCGACUGUCACUAAAGACUUGGAGAAACAGGAGUCUCAGAGACCUUAAUGAAAACUCGUUUCGGGCUGCUUCAUGCAACAGUUACUGGAUGCCAUCUCAGUUGUAUUUUAUUUGGUGAAAACACAUUUGGAAUGUCUGGAAGUUUCUUUGCAAAAGUUAGGAACAGAUACUUUCAGGAAGCCUGUUAAAGUGGCUGUGCCAAAUUGGAUGAAAGACCACUCCAGCUACACAAUCUUUCACCGUUAGCAAAUACCACAGUAAAACCUCUGUUAUCUUUCCAAGUGUCCUAUCACUUGCAGUACGGGUUCUUCUAAGACAUACCUGUAUUUAAGAGCAGCUUUGUAACACAUUUGUUGAGGUAGCAGGCAGGCUUCCUGUGUAGUGGGUACACCUGGGGUGUUCACAUUGCUUGAAUUUGCAUCCUUCCAAACUCAGCACUGAAAGCUGUUACUGCUGAUCUGAAUGGACACGGUGAAAAAAAAAUCACACUUCUUUGCAGACACUGAGGAUUCCAGUGAUAUUACCAACAGCAGUGAUUUUUAGAAGGAAUGGUUAACACACCAUUCAAAGGAUUUAUCUUGUGAGAUUGGGCAGGCUGCAGCCUUGGGUAACACAAACAAGGACUAUGUGUUUAUGACUGCCAGGCAAGCCUGGAGCCCACUGAAAGCUGAACAUGCAGAGCUGUCUUCAUCUUCCUGAAAUGAAGCUGUCUGCAGAAAGGAGCAUUAGCUCUUAAUAAGCUCCAAAUCUUAUAAAAUCUAAAUUAGAUGCUGUCGCUUACUUGGAAGUGUGCAGUCUAGGAUAACUAUCUACUUCAGAUCCCCCUUGACUGGUUUCUGGUACACACAUCCCUUCUGUGCUCUCAUUUCUGCUGAUUUGUGAAGAUGCCUGAAACUGCAGAUUUCUCCAGUAGGAAUAUGGAUUAAAAGCAGUGCUAUUAAUGGUAAAGUGCAAAUGCAUUUAGUAACAAAGCCUGAUAAAAGUAAAUAGUGAACACAUCAAGUAGUUAAUUUCUACUUGAGUAACUUGCUUUUAAGGUAUAUUUUAGCAAAAUUCAAAUACAAUUAAAAUGCAGGAGAUAACUUUAGUAAACUGACACAAUUUCACUAUUUCUAAACUUUGAACAUGUUUUGCAUUUUAAACCAAUUAAAACUAUCAAUAUGAAAUUCACCUCAUUCUUAACUGUGUAGCCCCUUAAGAUUUCAGAGUUCACUAAGUGGCUUGUUUACAUUUCUUAUUACAAAGCGUCAGUUUCAGGUUCAUUUUUCAGAUAUAAGUAUUUGUAUUAAAAACCUACAUACUGGAUUCUAAAAGAAAUCAGUGAGGUUAUGCAGGUUGACUUGUUAGCUAUGUGAAUGGAAGAAAAUAUACACAAAGUCAUUAAUUAAAACUUGACACUUUUCUUUGUUGUAUCCAUCCCAGAGGGGACAAUUUCCUGCUAUAAUGAUCAGCGACAAUCAGCAUAAGCACUAAGGAAAUACCUUAAUUUCCCAGUGGAUGUACAUGUGAAUAAACAUGGCUUUUUCUAUGAUCAACUCUUUGAGGAAACAGAGAAGGAUGCAUCUCCUUUACAAAGGAAAAAGUAUUGCUGCUCUGAAUCACUGUAGAAAAAUAAAACAUUUUAUGUCUAAAUGAAGUGCUACACCAAGUGUAUCAGCAACCGUUAUGGUCAACCGUAAUGGAUUUAAAAAGAAAGAUUUAAGACAUCAGACUUUAAAAGGGAAAAACAGAUUUAUUUCAUGCAGUUUACAAUAGGCUAGUGUUAUGAAAAGGAGGUUAAAAAAAUACCCACACACAUUUGUAAUCGUAUCUUUGUUUUAAAAAUGAUGGCUAACUAUACCGACUUCAAAUGUCUUGGGAAGCCCUAGCAGAUUUUUUAUCCAGGGAAACUCCCUGGAUUCAAUUUUUUGUCCAUGUCUGUGCUAAGAGUUCUGGCUAAUGCAAAGGCAUUAAAACCAAAUCAAAACUCAAACUUUGCUGCAGUAAGAACACUUCAGAGAUAACGAAUUGGCACAAAAUAAAGUGUUAUUGCUAAUCCACUAUCCAGGAAAUAACAUGUUGCAAGUAUGGCCACUUGGAUAUUAACACAAACAGCUGAUGCACAACUAAGUGUGAGACAGGUGCUUUAAAACCAACAAAACCAACCUGCUGAAUUGGGUAUGUGGGCCUAGACAGACUGUAGGAAAUGGAUUCAGGGAUUUUUUUCACAGCGAGGCUCAGAUGAGGCUCAGGACAGAAGCAGGCUGAAAUAGUUGCCAUUUGGUACUUGUUCAGUUUGGUGCUCUUGGUUCAGUUCCAAGCAGAUAGGUUGGCAACAUGUUUUUUUUGACAGUGUCUUGGCACUUGCUUUUCUCCUAGCAAGAACGCGUGGGCCAACUUCAAUUUGAAUAAUGUUGUGCAUGAGCUUUUGUAAAAUCUUCAAAAGGAACAAGAAUCAUGUACACAGAUAUUUCAACUCUUACAUUUCAUACGGAUUGAUUGGGCCUGGACAUCUCAGUAGGUGUUAGGUUGGGUCAAACCCUAGGCUCAGCAUUCCGAAGCAAGGAGAACUUGCAGAACCUUCUCCUGCCUCAGCCAUCCCCAAAGGAUCAAAAUAACUAUCAAUAAAUUGUUUUAAUUAUAGUAAUUACUUAUACACAACAUCCUGAAGAGAACCCUGGAAAGAACCCAGAAAGCUCUGUUUGCAGCAGUAUUUAUUUACUGAGCUUUCCAGAAGUUUAUACCUUGGUAGAUCUUACAACAGUGAAGGACAGCUAAGUUGCAAUGAAAUAUUCAGCAUCAAUUUCCUGGCACAGAAUCUUCCUCAAAGUCUCUCUGUUGGCAGUUCUGUUCACAACAGCUGUUAGAUUUCAACAUGGGCAAUAAUAAAGUGGUGGGCAAAUGUGCUGUCAUCUCUACUGUACUCCUUACCAAGCUGGAUACUGAAAUUCCAAACAAGAUAUGAACGCAAUUAUAUCUGCAAUUGGUUAUAUCUGCAAUUUCUAUAAAUGAUUUCAGAGUUUGAGUUAGAAAAACAAACUAGCUGCUUUUUAGAAGUUAUUUAUGUCUCUAGAACCUCAAAUUAGCCCUGGACAGUAUUUUAGCCCUUAGGAUUUCUGCAGUGAAAAUGAAGAGUUCCUUCUUUUACACAAACUGAACAAUAAAAUAAGACCUAUUUAGCCCUUUAAAGCCUCAGUCCACUAAGAAGCCUUUAAAGACAGCUCCUGAUUGUUGUGAGCCAAAAGAAAGAAAAAUUAUAUUACACUGAGUCCAGGCAGCUUUCUACACUUUUUUUAAAAACUGAAUAUUCAUCCUAUUUUAAGAAUCAGUAAUCCUACUCACAAACCCAGGUAGAAUCCUGAGAUUGUCCUUAAAGCUGCAAAUAACUGCAGUCUAAAGUAUAGUGAAGCAAACAGACAGCUUCCUCAAAAUGGCUGUGUUAGGAAAGACACUUCACCAGAGACCCCUGGAAGUUUUAAUCCCACUGUCCUGAGAUAACAAGUACUGCUAAAGGCAAAGCAAAAUCCCAUCUCUGUUUCAAGGACCCCAACUGUAGGGUUGAUUGAAGAAGUUAAUUUAAAAACUCGACAGAGAUUGUUGAUGCUGAGAGAGAGAUUAAAAUAGGAGAACGACACUUUCUUGUUUUACAAAGUGAACAAAAUGCCAAGUUUCGUCUCCAGACUCUCUUUUUUCCCUUGGCCUUAAUCCCAAAGAAAAGCCCAGUUCUUAGCAGUUCUCUCAAUACAUCUCAAGGAACAUAUUCCAGCAUACCUGAACAACUGGACAACACACAUUAUAAUACAUUUCCUAGAUAACUGCAUUCACUCACACAUUCCUGCACUCCAAGUUCAUUUUUAUAAUACUAAUGAAACAGUAAUUUGUAAAUGGUAUGAGUUUGUUACUGCUCAAAAAGAGACCGAAACUUCCAGCAUCCUCAACAGAUGUUCACGGAAUGCAGCGUUCUGUUCUGAGAAAUAGUUUUCUGAAAAUAUCAUCAUCCCACUCAACAGACCUGCUCCCCGAGCAAGUGCAUGUUCUUUUGUUUAAUCUGUGAGAAUUUAUUUUUUUU